This 253-nucleotide ribosomal RNA is filed under the name uncultured bacterium. Its description in RNAcentral is "partial 16S ribosomal RNA". It matches the Rfam family "Bacterial small subunit ribosomal RNA", at positions 524 to 776 of the family's 1533-position model. The record is from RNAcentral.
UACGGAGGGUGCGAGCGUUAAUCGGAAUUACUGGGCGUAAAGGGUGCGUAGGUGGUCAAUUAAGUUAGAUGUAAAAACCCUGGGCUUAACCUGGGGCUGAGAUUUAAUACUGGUUGACUGGAGUAUUGGAGAGGGUAGUGGAAUUUCCGGUGUAGCGGUGAAAUGCGUAGAGAUCGGAAGGAACACCAGUGGCGAAGGCGGCUACCUGGCCAGAUACUGACACUGAAGCACGAAAGCGUGGGGAGCAAACAGG